GGCUGGGUGGCAGAGUGGUUAUGUACCGGCCUGCAAAGCCGAGUACCUCGGUUCGAUUCCGGGCCCAGCCUCCA
Molecule: transfer RNA, 74 nt
Filed under: Gammaproteobacteria bacterium
Lineage: Bacteria; Pseudomonadati; Pseudomonadota; Gammaproteobacteria
Description: tRNA-Cys
Rfam family: tRNA
About the family: Transfer RNA (tRNA) molecules are approximately 80 nucleotides in length. Their secondary structure includes four short double-helical elements and three loops (D, anti-codon, and T loops).
Source: RNAcentral